Molecule: ribosomal RNA, 575 nt
Filed under: Physarum album
Lineage: Eukaryota; Evosea; Eumycetozoa; Physariida; Physaraceae
Description: SSU rRNA
Rfam family: Eukaryotic small subunit ribosomal RNA
Source: RNAcentral
CCAGUAGUGUAUGCUCCUUCUAAAGACUAAGCCAUGCAUGCCUUCGAAUAAGAAGUCGCAAUAUCUGAAUCUGCGAACGGCUCCGCAAACCAGUUGUUGGCUAUUACAGGAAAGACUCGGGAACGGGAACUUCAUUGAUCCCGAUCCCUUGGCUGCCAUGGAUAAUCGCGGUAAUUCUGAGACUAAUACAAGAACGUACCACCUAACCGACCGGGUAACUGGGAGGUUGGGGGUCGUGUGGGCUUAAGCUGCAAUCGAUCGAAUGAAUACACACACGAUCAAACCACCAUAAACAACGAUCGUGAGCUCCAGUCUUACUACCCGCAAGGGGAAAAGCGUGGCUCUCGUUCGGGUGGGCCCAGUAAUGCGCUUCUGACCUAUCAACUAUAAUGCGAUUCCAUGGACUGCGAUGGUCACAACGGGUACAGAGGAUAAGGGUUCGAUCCUGGAGAGUGGGCCUGAGAGAUUGCUCAUACUUCUAAGGAAGGCAGCAGGCGCGCAAAGUUCCCAAUGGGCAAAGCCCGAGGGCGUGAAGGGACAUAUGAAUACCUGCCAAUGGUGGGUAAUUCAAAUGG